UCCUACGGGGCGCAGCAGUGAGGAAUAUUGGUCAAUGGCCGCAGGGCUGAACCAGCCAAGUCGCGUGAGGGAUGACGGUCCUAUGGAUUGUAAACCUCUUUUGUCAGGGAGCAAAGGGCGCCACGUGUGGCGUUUUGCGAGUACCUGAAGAAAAAGCAUCGGCUAACUCCGUGCCAGCAGCCGCGGUAAUACGGAGGAUGCGAGCGUUAUCCGGAUUUAUUGGGUUUAAAGGGUGCGCAGGCGGGAGAUCAAGUCAGCGGUAAAAUGUCGGGGCUCAACCCCGGCCGGCCGUUGAAACUGGUUUU
RNAcentral lists this ribosomal RNA (305 nucleotides) under uncultured bacterium. RNAcentral's name for it is "bacterial SSU rRNA". It matches the Rfam family "Bacterial small subunit ribosomal RNA", at positions 337 to 640 of the family's 1533-position model. The record is from RNAcentral.